This 233-nucleotide long non-coding RNA is filed under the name Mytilus galloprovincialis (Mediterranean mussel). The record is from RNAcentral. Lineage: Eukaryota; Metazoa; Mollusca; Bivalvia; Mytilida; Mytilidae.
AUUUUUUUCUCAGUGAUGUAAGUGGUAAAAUAGUUGUUUGAAAACUAAAACGUAUACCAAACUUCUCUAAAACGCACUUUUAUCUCUUAAGAAAUAAUGUAAAACAUAAAAAGAAUCUAUGAUGGAUAAGAUGACAAGUAGCAUUUAGUAAGCAUCUGUAACCACAGUCCUGACAAAAAGUCACAGAAUAUAAAGUCGGCAAAUAAUUUGUGUUAUUAUAAGAAAUAUAGAAC